AAGAUUCUAGUUAAAGUCAUAACACUGCCUUGUCAAGGCAGAGAUGUGGGUUAAACCCCCACGUAUCUUG
Molecule: non-coding RNA, 70 nt
Organism: Oryzias latipes (Japanese medaka)
Lineage: Eukaryota; Metazoa; Chordata; Actinopteri; Beloniformes; Adrianichthyidae
Source: Rfam